ACUCCUACGGGAGGCAGCAGUGAGGAAUAUUGGUCAAUGGGCGCAAGCCUGAACCAGCCAUGCCGCGUGCAGGAAGACUGCCUUAUGGGUUGUAAACUGCUUUUAUAUGGGAAGAACCCCUCUACGUGUAGAGGCUUGUACGGGUACCAAUAAGAAAUAAGCACCGGCUAACUCCGUGCCAGCAGCCGCGGUAAUACGGAGGGUGCAAGCGUUAUCCGGAAUCAUUGGGUUUAAAGGGUCCGCAGGCGGUCAAUUAAGUCAGAGGUGAAAUCCUAUAGCUUAACUAUAGAACUGCCUUUGAUACGGUUGACUUUGAAGUUAUACGGAAGUAGGUAAAUG
RNAcentral lists this ribosomal RNA (339 nucleotides) under uncultured bacterium. RNAcentral's name for it is "bacterial SSU rRNA". It matches the Rfam family "Bacterial small subunit ribosomal RNA", at positions 335 to 669 of the family's 1533-position model. The record is from RNAcentral.